Long non-coding RNA from Humulus lupulus (European hop), 573 nucleotides. RefSeq lists it as uncharacterized. Lineage: Eukaryota; Viridiplantae; Streptophyta; Magnoliopsida; Rosales; Cannabaceae. The record is from RefSeq and is a predicted model, not a curated record. The transcript is spliced from 4 exons.
UUUAUGAGGGAAUUAAGAAUUAAAAGGAAGGAAGGAAGGAAAUGAGACCAUUUUGGCCAUGACCUAGAGAGAGGAUAGAGAGAGAGAGAGAGUGGCAAGCUAGAGAGAGAGGAGGAAGGGGCUGCCAUUUUCUAGAGAGAAGGAGAAGAAGAAAGAGAGGAAGGAGGAGAAGAAGGGUUCAAGCGAGGGGUUUGAGCAAGGAGGUGCUUCUAGAUUGGAUUCUUGAUUUCUAUCAAGAGAGGCUCGUUGGGAAGUUGUAGUUUACUUAGCUUGGACCUGAGCAAAUAGGUUUCUCCAUGGCACACGUGGUGAUGUGGGAAGUUCUAUCGUCCUGGUGUGUAUGGCGUGGGGCAUCCUAUGGACGAAAAACGAUCACUUAAAGACGCCAUUUUAAUAAUGUUAUGUUUUAUGAGACUUUUUAAACUUAUCAGUGAGACUUAAAUUAUUAGUUGUUUUUUUUUUUUGGAACUUUGCAUAAAAACUCAUAUUUUCUUUUAAAACUAUUGGGGCCAACUUGCAUGUUUUUAAGCAAGACCCCACUGAAACCUUUAUAAUAAGUGGCUUUCUUUUAUA